Long non-coding RNA from Apis dorsata (giant honeybee), 350 nucleotides. RefSeq lists it as uncharacterized. Lineage: Eukaryota; Metazoa; Arthropoda; Insecta; Hymenoptera; Apidae. The transcript has 3 exons. The record is from RefSeq and is a predicted model, not a curated record.
ACGUAUAUUUUUUGUCUUUUUUUUUUUUUUCUUGCGAUAUAAUUAGGAAGUAAUUGUAGUAAUUAAAUCGAUUAUGAACAUGAGAUUGGUAUACAUAUUUGUGAGCUACGAUGAUUGAUCAUAAUAAUAAGACGACGAUUAUAGUAAGACAAUGAUGAGGAUGAUAAUGAGGACAGUUAUGAUUAUUAUUAUUAUUAUAAUUACGAUCAUUAUUAUAUUAUUACUCCUAUUACUACUAUUACGAAUGACGACGAGAAUAGUUUUUAUUGUCUUAUAAACGUAAACGGAAUACAAUGUAGCGGAGUUGUUUGUUUUAUCUCUCUCUCUCUCUCUCACUUUCACUCUCUUUC